CAUCUCUUUUCCACAGUUUUUUUUCACUUAGUUCCACUACUGCAGUGGAUUUUAUAGUCAAUGUUUAAAGCCAGCACAGAGUCUGAAGCGAUGGAGGAAAUGUACGUCAAUAUGGAACCUGUUGGAAAAACCGCAUCUAAUCACACAGGUAAGAACAAAGUUACAGAGAAAUUUAGUAUGUAUUGAAUUCAAUUUUGCUAAGGUUGAGAUUUUUGUUAAGGUUGGAGCAGCUCCAAAGGGAGGCUCUGCCUCCGUGCGGCUGUAUGUUUGGGAAUCCUGAAUGUUUUACUUUUGGCUGAACUCAUCGCCCUCAGCAUACACACUCAUGACAUGACAGCAGAUUUUUCUGACAUCAGCAACAUUCUGACCGAGCAGAACAGCAGCAGCAAGUUUCCCUCCAUGAUCGCUAACUUCACUGAAACGGCUCCACGAGCUGAAGACACUUUAAGGGAAAUUGUGUCCUACAGAACGAACAAACAUCAAUUGUUCCUGUUCAUCCAGGGGCUGCAGAAGAAGAGAAGAACAGAUCCACUGGUGAUGGAUGAUUAGGAUCUGUGUUCACUGUGAUAUUAUUCACCAACAAUAAUGUAGCUUACGGUGUUACAUAAAAUCCUAAAGAUAAAAUGUACACUCCCAACUGUUGUGACCUGCAUCUAAUAACACAACUAUUUUACCGCUUGUACUCUGUGUUUUUCUUUCUUGUUAAAAUUCUGACGUGAUAAACAAAC
Xiphophorus couchianus (Monterrey platyfish) is the source of this 728-nucleotide long non-coding RNA. RefSeq lists it as uncharacterized. Lineage: Eukaryota; Metazoa; Chordata; Actinopteri; Cyprinodontiformes; Poeciliidae. The transcript has 3 exons. The record is from RefSeq and is a predicted model, not a curated record.